GACAAGAGAAACAAAUGGUAUAUUUACACUGCUGCAACCAAGGGAUAAAGAUUUCGGAAUUGCCUUCCUUCAAUCCAAUAAUCUUAAGAUUGGAAUAGAAGCACAGUUUUUUUGUGUGGAAAAGAAAGAAAGCAAAGUGCUUCCCUUAUUUUUAUUAAACAACAAAUCUAAGAGACAAAAUUACAGAGGUAAGAAGAGAUGUAUGGAGUGAUACAGUAACAAUACGGACAAUCCAACACCACAA
This 244-nucleotide long non-coding RNA is filed under the name Elaeis guineensis (African oil palm). RNAcentral describes it as "long non-coding RNA (EGUI_LNC023815)". Lineage: Eukaryota; Viridiplantae; Streptophyta; Magnoliopsida; Arecales; Arecaceae. The record is from RNAcentral.